ACUUAAAUUGAAGAGUUUGAUCAUGGCUCAGAUUGAACGCUGGCGGCAGGCCUAACACAUGCAAGUCGAGCGGUAGCACAGAGAGCUUGCUCUCGGGUGACGAGCGGCGGACGGGUGAGUAAUGUCUGGGAAACUGCCUGAUGGAGGGGGAUAACUACUGGAAACGGUAGCUAAUACCGCAUAACGUCGCAAGACCAAAGUGGGGGACCUUCGGGCCUCAUGCCAUCAGAUGUGCCCAGAUGGGAUUAGCUAGUAGGUGGGGUAACGGCU
Molecule: ribosomal RNA, 270 nt
Filed under: Klebsiella pneumoniae
Lineage: Bacteria; Pseudomonadati; Pseudomonadota; Gammaproteobacteria; Enterobacterales; Enterobacteriaceae
Description: partial 16S ribosomal RNA
Rfam family: Bacterial small subunit ribosomal RNA
Source: RNAcentral